Molecule: ribosomal RNA, 203 nt
Filed under: Salmonella enterica subsp. enterica
Lineage: Bacteria; Pseudomonadati; Pseudomonadota; Gammaproteobacteria; Enterobacterales; Enterobacteriaceae
Description: partial 23S ribosomal RNA
Source: RNAcentral
AACCGUGUACGUACAAGCAGUGGGAGCCCCACCACUAAGCCAGUGGUGAACUCCACAUACGCAUCCUUUGCUGAGGAUACGGUUAACGGAGCGAAAGCGACGUUCAACCGCAAAAGAAGCAGAGGGGGCUUAGUGGUGGGGUGACUGCGUACCUUUUGUAUAAUGGGUCAGCGACUUAUAUUCUGUAGCAAGGUUAACCGAAU